AUGAAGAACGCAGCGAAAUGCGAUAAGUAAUGCGAAUUGCAGAAUUUCCGUGAGUCAUCGAAUCUUUGAACGCACAUUGCGCCCGCCAGUAUUCUGGCGGGCAUGCCUGUUCGAGCGUCAUUUCAACCAUCAAGCCCCCGGCUUGUGUUGGGGACCUGCGGCUGCCGCAGGCCCUGAAAAGCAGUGGCGGGCUCGCUGUCACACCGAGCGUAGUAGCAUACAUCUCGCUCUGGGCGUGCUGCGGGUUCCGGCCGUUAAACCACCUUCAUAACCCAAGGUUGACCUCGGAUCAGGUAGGAAGACCCGCUGAACUUAAGCAUAUCAAUAAGCGGAGGA
This 336-nucleotide unclassified non-coding RNA is filed under the name soil metagenome. Its description in RNAcentral is "partial contains 5.8S ribosomal RNA, internal transcribed spacer 2, and large subunit ribosomal RNA". The stretch from base 1 to 120 matches the Rfam family "5.8S ribosomal RNA", at positions 36 to 154 of the family's 154-position model. The record is from RNAcentral.